GGUGCUGUAAGCUCAGCCCGGGAGUUUUAACCGAAAGCAACCGGCUGAAGACCGGUGUGUCAGGGGUUCAAAUCCCCUCUGUCCCA
Molecule: transfer RNA, 86 nt
Rfam family: tRNA (bases 20-86)
About the family: Transfer RNA (tRNA) molecules are approximately 80 nucleotides in length. Their secondary structure includes four short double-helical elements and three loops (D, anti-codon, and T loops). Further hydrogen bonds mediate the characteristic L-shaped molecular structure. tRNAs have two regions of fundamental functional importance: the anti-codon, which is responsible for specific mRNA codon recognition, and the 3' end, to which the tRNAs corresponding amino acid is attached (by aminoacyl-tRNA synthetases). tRNAs cope with the degeneracy of the genetic code in two manners: having more than one tRNA (with a specific anti-codon) for a particular amino acid; and 'wobble' base-pairing, i.e. permitting non-standard base-pairing at the 3rd anti-codon position.